GAUUUCCUCCCGGCCCCCGCCCUCCCACAGCCCUUUGCAGGACGUGCAACAGGGUUGUGGCUCGUGUGUUCGGUCUCUGCCUGCUGAAACCCCUUAUGGGAGGUGGAGCAUGCAGACGGACGGGUGCAGGAGCCAGGGUGCAAAAGCUGGGGCGCUGGGCUUCCAGCCCCACGGCAGUGUCCAGGGGCAGGAUCCCGUGAUUCCCGGAGCCCAAAUGGGCGUGUGUUACAGUGUGCUCUUUUAGCCUUACCAUCAGCUGACGGCUUAAGUGUUAACCAGCUCAAUAGACCCUCUGCCUUUUUGCAAGCGCAGAGGGUCAGUGUGACAGUUUCUGUAUCUCAGCUCUUGUCUCACCUCCCAGAAGAAUCAGGUCACACAUGGACUUGAAGGAUGAACACCAGAGACUGGGUAAUUAAUAAAAAGAAGAAAUUGAUCUGGCCUACAGUUCUGGAGCCUUGGAAGUCCGAGAUCAAGGAGCUGCAUCUGAUAAAUACCUGGAGUGGGAUUGCUAGAUCACAUGGAAAACACAGAUCCUGGUGCCGAACAUGAGGACAGGGCAGGCCGAAGGAGAAAGUG
RNAcentral lists this long non-coding RNA (576 nucleotides) under Homo sapiens (human). RNAcentral's name for it is "ZBED3 antisense RNA 1". Lineage: Eukaryota; Metazoa; Chordata; Mammalia; Primates; Hominidae. The record is from RNAcentral.